Non-coding RNA from Macaca mulatta (Rhesus monkey), 3702 nucleotides. NCBI's taxonomy places the organism in Eukaryota, Metazoa, Chordata, Mammalia, Primates, Cercopithecidae. The record is from RefSeq and is a predicted model, not a curated record.
UAUCCUGGGACUUUGAAGACAAGGCUUUGCGUAGAAACAGAUUCUCUCCAUUAGUCUCUGGGGUCUGUAAGUGUGAACCUGAGAUGAUCCAGCAGCAAGCGAGAAGUUUGUUGAAGCCCAUGGUGAACUGAGAAAUGGAAGUGGCGCCUAGGGUUUUCAGGGUAUGCCUGUCACAUCCACACCACAGCAGUGGACAAAGCCUAGGAGCCUGUGGCAAGGAAAGUGCCUUCAGUCAACGGCGGCUGACCACAUCCCCAUGAGGUCCGAGGCAUGAUGGUCGGUCCAAGGGACUGCUCAUCCUGGCUCUCAAAACUUGAGGAAUGAAAAGGAACAUGGCCAAUGAGGAACAGGUUGCUAUCAAGUGGACCCUGCCAGACUCUGAAUUUCUUCCUGCAAAGAGGACAGUCCAGAAGAAGAAGCUGAAGUCCAAGAGCGGUGAAAUGAUUGGCUGAAGGCCAUCCAGGUCUUUUGGCUUUCCUGUCCCAUUUGAGACUUAGAGCUUUCCUUGAUUAUAAGUCAAGGGCUGUUUGACUGCUGUUUGCUGUUGGCUGAGUUGCUAAGCCACAACUUACCCUAGACGUGUGCUUGUGCAGAUGUAGUAGAUGCUGAUGGUGCCUUGCUGUGAUGCCUUUAAUUGGCAGAUAGAUCCAUCCCCCAAGCUGCUACAAGUGUUGGCUGUUAGCAACUUGCAGCUGCCUUCUUCUUGGAAAAUUGCCCUUGACCAAAUGGGAGUCACUUCAUCCUGGAAGCUAAGCUGUUUUCCCCAUGCCAUGGAGCAGACCUCCAUCAAUGACUGAUGUGGAGGGGUACAAAAGCUUGGCCUCCUUGCCUAAGUGGUGACCAGCUCUGAGGAGCAAUUCAUGCUCCCAAGCUUCCCUAGGGAUCACACUGAAGGGAGUCUCCAGCCAAAACCACAUUUUUGUAGUUUUCUUUGCCCUAUUUUGGUUCCCCCAUUUCCUUCUCCCUGGUGAACUCCCCCAGUAAGUCACUUGAACAAGAAUUCCUGUUUCGAUCUCUGUUUCUAGAGAACCCCAUAUAGGACAUAAACUAUGGGUCAUAGUGUUAUCCCCAACCUGAGUAUUGCUCCCAAACUACACCGCACCAGGCCUAGCCUCUUCAAGAGCCCUCCCUGUCUCCCUCUUACCUACAUCAUCAAGUGAAGACUUCUGUUUCCGAUUUUUAAGUUCCCUACUUGCCUCUAUUCAACCCACUCACCUCAUUGUUUUCUUUCCCUCACUUGCACCUUUCCUCUCAGUGGAUGGGUUUCCUCCCUGGCCUCGGUUUGCAGUUAUCAGAAGAAUUCCUGCCUUCCCUCCUUUUCAUCAUUUUCCUCCCUUCAUUCUUCUGACUGACUCAUUCCUCAGUGCCUUCUCUAGGAAGCUGGUCUCUUCCUUCUUUGAAUAUCUGUGGCCUUCUUUUCAGUGGUUCAUAGGUUAGGACAGUGUUUCCCAGUGUGGAUGGCAUCUCUGAUGACAUGAGAUAUAUAAGGCACUAAGUAGCCUUCAAUAAUAAGAAGAAAGGUAUUUCCAGAUUUAAUCUCAGUCUUUUGUAAUAGAUCAAGGAGAUACCUUAACCCUGAUUCUAACCUUCACUCACAAUCUCAGUUUGGUUCUAGUAUUUUAGUGGUUUGUUUAGCAUGAAAAGCAUGAAACACUUCCUAAUCUCCAUUUUUAACACCAUCACCACUGCCAGCAACAACAGGCUUGGAGUACCUGUAUUUAACUGUCACUUAAUACUAUUAAUAUAGUUUUCUUUUAAUUGCAUUUAUUUUUGAGGCUUUUUUAUUUAUGACACAUGAUAACUAGCUUUCUAUUUUUGGCAAUGCUAUAACAUUUCUUUUAAAAAUAUAUUUAAUUAAAGAGUAAUCUAUAGAAAUUUUAAGUGCAUGAUAGUUUAUGUAUUUCAGAAAAUAUGACACAAAUUGUGAAAGUGGUAUACAGCUGCUCAGCUUUGGGAAACGUGAGUCCUGUCCUGUCUGCUUAUGGAUGUAUUGAUUCAUGGGUAUUACACUUGUCUCCUAAGUUGCUUGCUGAUGCUUUGAAGGUCAGGUAAUAACAUUCCCCAAGGAACUAAGCAGAGUGGCUGGCCUCAUUUCUCCCCUGACCUGCAGGCUGGCUGGCUGGUUGCCUUGCUUCUGGGAAAUGGCCAGGCAGCCUGUUGCUCCCUGUGCCCCUUCCCCACCAGGCAGCUCAUUCCCUUUGUAGUAGCCUCAUGUCAAAACCCAUCAGAACAAGAGACUAUUAAUGAGGAUGGGAAGAGACAGAGAAAAGAGGAAAACACCACAGUAAGAUAAAAACAGAUCAAUAGUGAAGCUAAACAGAGCAAGAGGUUCUGAAAGCAAUUCAGGAGCUGUCAGUUUCUCAACAAACACAGGGUUUCUGAUAAUCUCAGAUGGACACAAAAAGGAGAGAGAUGGACAAAAAGCCAGAGAAGCACAUCAAGGGAAAGCAAUAAGGAGGCUUUACCCAGCCAGAACUCAUCCUCCAGGUUCCCGAAGCCAACACGGUAAUCAGCCCAUUUCCGGAAAAAAUCAGUUUGGCCAUUCUGCCGCCUCUGAAAUACCUAUGAAGGAAAGAAAAAAAAAAAAAGAAAAACCCAAGGAGAUGCUAGGGAAAAUAAACUGUGAUAAGUAAAAUUGAUAUAACUGGGUUUUAAAUUGAUAUAACUGGAUUUUAUAUCUGCAAUGACAAAGAUGUCCAAAGAAGGAACAUUUCAGAGCAGAGCUCAGUAUUUACACAGCAAUUUUUGUAGGAGAUGCUCAGAACACUUCUCUUGAAGUGUAGAGGCCCCUGAUGAAUAGGCUCCAGUGUGAUGUUGACACUAAUUUGCACCCCUGCAAUGUAGAAAGGACUCAGGAUACAUAUCAAGCCCUAAAUAUCAGGGGAAAUAGGCUUGGCUCUCAAAUGAAUCUUUUGCACUACAGAGUGUAGUAGAAAGCAUUUCUCACCAAAAGAAUAGGACCUACUUCAAAUCAGCUAGUAACUGUCAUCGUCCUAUUGCAGGCAAAGCAAUACUGCAUAUCAUUCACUUUCUGAGCUGUUUAAGUGCUUAUUUUAUUUAACCUCCAAUACAUCAACCUUGGCUUCAAUUUCCAAUUAUGCUUUAAGAAGGAGGUGCAAAUACGUCAGAAACAUAAAAGAAAAUGUCUCCCAAGAGUAGCUGUUAUGAGCACAUCACCAUUCAAAACCUACCCGUUUUGCACCAGGAAACAUCCAGCACUGUUAGCAGAGUGAGAGAGGGAAUCCGAAGAAGGGUGGAGGGGCUGGUUUUCCAUCCUAAAGCGAUUUGGCUAAUAUUGGGCUGCUUUAGGGCCAGGCAGUGGGAACUCCCGGCUGCCCCGACAGGCUUGCAUUAAGGAGGCUGCCCUUAUUUUCCCUCACUCUGUAUUGCCCUAUCAGGCAUGGGAGGAGGGUGGUGACAGGAAACAGUGUCUCUCUUUUCCUGACCACUGGUGCUCCCUGAAGGUUGUGAUGGCUCUGGGGAAGAACCAGGGAGACCCCGGGAAGAAUGGGGAAGGGGAGUCAGCUAUCCAUGUUUGGGCCCUCAUCUGCUUUCCCAUACGCAAUCCUCAAUUGGAGGCUUCUGAUCAUCUCUCUGUGGCAGUAAUCACCUCCUCAUACAGAAAUACUUUUCUUCCACUGCCUUUUUGUUUGUUUUUGUUUUGUUUUUUGAGUCUUACUCACUCUGUCACCCAGGCUACAA